RNAcentral lists this ribosomal RNA (305 nucleotides) under uncultured bacterium. RNAcentral's name for it is "bacterial SSU rRNA". It matches the Rfam family "Bacterial small subunit ribosomal RNA", at positions 333 to 655 of the family's 1533-position model. The record is from RNAcentral.
GAGCUCCUACGGGGGGCAGCAGUGGGGAAUAUUGCACAAUGGGGGAAACCCUGAUGCAGUGACGCCGCGUGAGUGAGGAAGUAUUUCGGUAUGUAAAGCUCUAUCAGCAGGGAAGAAAAUGACGGUACCUGACUAAGAAGCCCCGGCUAACUACGUGCCAGCAGCCGCGGUAAUACGUAGGGGGCAAGCGUUAUCCGGAUUUACUGGGUGUAAAGGGAGCGUAGACGGAUAAGCAAGUCUGAUGUGAAACUCCGGUGCCCAACCCCGGAAUUGCAUUGGAAACUGCAUAUCUAGAGUGUCGGAGA